RNAcentral lists this ribosomal RNA (253 nucleotides) under uncultured bacterium. RNAcentral's name for it is "partial 16S ribosomal RNA". It matches the Rfam family "Bacterial small subunit ribosomal RNA", at positions 524 to 776 of the family's 1533-position model. The record is from RNAcentral.
UACGUAGGGAGCGAGCGUUGUCCAGAUUUACUGGGUGUAAAGGGCGUGCAGCCGGGCUGGUAAGUCAGAUGUGAAAUCCGUGGGCUCAACCCACGAACUGCAUUUGAAACUGCUGGUCUUGAGUACCGGAGAGGUUAUCGGAAUUCCUUGUGUAGCGGUGAAAUGCGUAGAUAUAAGGAAGAACACCAGUGGCGAAGGCGGAUAACUGGACGGCAACUGACGGUGAGGCGCGAAAGCGUGGGGAGCAAACAGG